GCGAAAAUGGCCCUGGGAUCGGCUGGUCACAUGACACCCAGAAUUUCUGGGUGUUUUGAUUUGAUAAUUUAUGCGAAAUUAAAUUUUUGUUGUUUGUUUACAAAUAAUCGAAUUAGUAUUAUUUGUAAACAAACAACAAAACUUUAAUUUCGCAUAAAUUAUCAAAGCAAAAACACCCAGAGAUUAUGGGUGUCAUUCUGGGUGUCAUGUGACCAGCCGAUCCCAGGGCCAUUUUCGC
Molecule: non-coding RNA, 238 nt
Organism: Paramuricea clavata
Lineage: Eukaryota; Metazoa; Cnidaria; Anthozoa; Malacalcyonacea; Plexauridae
Source: the annotation of a GenBank genome assembly